This 504-nucleotide ribosomal RNA is filed under the name uncultured bacterium. Its description in RNAcentral is "partial 16S ribosomal RNA". It matches the Rfam family "Bacterial small subunit ribosomal RNA", at positions 30 to 523 of the family's 1533-position model. The record is from RNAcentral.
AUUGAACGCUGGCGGCAUGCCUUACACAUGCAAGUCGAACGGCAGCGGGGGUAGCUUGCUACCUGCCGGCGAGUGGCGAACGGGUGAGUAAUACAUCGGAACGUGCCCUGUAGUGGGGGAUAACUAGUCGAAAGACUAGCUAAUACCGCAUACGACCUGAGGGUGAAAGUGGGGGACCGCAAGGCCUCAUGCUAUAGGAGCGGCCGAUGUCUGAUUAGCUAGUUGGUGGGGUAAAGGCCCACCAAGGCGCCGAUCAGUAGCUGGUCUGAGAGGACGAUCAGCCACGCUGGGACUGAGACACGGCCCAGACUCCUACGGGAGGCAGCAGUGGGGAAUUUUGGACAAUGGGGGCAACCCUGAUCCAGCAAUGCCGCGUGUGUGAAGAAGGCCUUCGGGUUGUAAAGCACUUUUGUCCGGAAAGAAAUCGCACUGGUUAAUACCUGGUGUGGAUGACGGUACCGGAAGAAUAAGGACCGGCUAACUACGUGCCAGCCGCCGCCGUAA